UGCGGGGGCCGCGGGGCCGCGGGAGCUGUGCUGUAGAGCUCUCCCUUGGAUACUGGAGGGCUGACCUGGAGCCAGGGAGGGAGGAGGCUCGGGCAGGGCCAGUGGGGACCGAGAGCAGAGGGCGCGUCCGAGAGCUGUGUAAAGAACUGACAGGACGCGGCGACGGAGGGACUGUGGGACCAAAGGGUCACCUAACACAUCCGUGUUGAGCACCCAGUACGUGCUCGGCCCUGUCAGGCUCUGCCCUGGCGGACCUUACAUUCUAACUGGAGGCGGUAAACAAGGUAAGUAAAGCAGACGGCGUGCUAAGGAGAAAAACGAGGCAGGGCAGUGAGUGGCCCGUGUAGGAGGAGGGGUGCAGCUUCUCCUGUCACGGGGACUAUACUGUAAAUGCUAAAAUGAUGCGAAUGUAAGUUCAGGGCGUUUGAUAAUUAUGAAAUUAAAUAAUCAUGAGUCAAAAGUAUUUAAACUAAUUACCACAUUCAGUUCAUUCUGGUGGUUUUUGAAUUCUGAUAAGCUAAGCUCACGGCUAAUAAUGAGAUUAGAAUGAAUGCCAUGGUAAGUAUAGUUUGGGGAUUAUUUGUUUGAGAUGCUCAGGGCAGGGGUAGGAGGAGGGCAGUUUCUAGGUCAUAUAAUAGAAAUGCAACAGCUACUAGAAACUUUAUAGAGAAGGCGAGGCAUGCUGACCCAAUGGGUUCAAAUUCACCUUUGUAUCGGCUUGAUUUUUCUGUAUAAAUAUUUAGUCAUGGCAGUCAGGAUACAUAAAUAAACAUAAUAAAUACAAAUAAGGAUGUUGAUAAUAUGUUAGUAAACAAUGUCAAGAUGAGAUUUCUUUUUUCUUGGGUUAUACCAAAACUUAUGGAUUGAAAGUCACUUGUACUGUUUACUACUAAAGAAUAUGACCCUCAUCAAUAGACAGACCAUGUGUACGGCCUGCUGAUCGUUCCAGGAACGAAGGAAGCUGACAUAUACUGUCAUCAGACUAAACGUUUGCGCUCGGACGGGCAGGGCACUCUCUCCAGCCACCUCGGAGGAGAAUGGACUCUGACCCAAGGGCUGCCGGUGAGGAUGGACAGCUGAGGCUGGGGGUCCCCUGAACAGCCCCUCCCCACCAGGAGCCCUCAAACACAGCCAGAAAGAGGGGAAGUUGUCAGUUCAACUCACCUUCUCCCAGGGCACUCUGACAAAGCCACUUCCACAGUUCUAAGUGCCAUGGCUGCCACCACUCCUGCAUCCACAUUCUUCUUCUGGAUCCUAUAAUACCUUGCAUCCCUAAUACUCAAGCUAGGAGCCCUUGGACCCUCCAAGGUGACUGUGCACUUCCCUGUUCUGGGACCUAACCACCUUAAGGUUUCAUCCUCAGAGUCCGACCUUUUGUUCAAGGGUGGGGGACACCUCCUCCACUGUAACUGCUGAGUGCUUACACCACGCUCCUUCAGAAGCGAACAGGAAGGGUUCUAAUGCGCAUCCAGAGUCAGCAAGAGAUGCUGCCUGCUACCAGUUCAUCACUCUGCACAGCCAGACAGCUCCGACAGGGUCAUCUCUUCACCGAUGACCCCAGAGUCACUCUUGCCCUCUGCCAAGCUGCCUGCGGCUUUGGAGAAGCUGGGGAGAGCCUUGUUUACUGAAGGGGCACCUGCAGCCCUUUGCCAUCACCUCUGAGACUCAGAGCACAGGGAGUGACUGCGGCUACUGGGGUGCCUGUUUAUUCUUCGGUCUGUGAAUUAUAGGCGUCUACCGUACUGGGGUUCCUGUGUCGGUAGAAGGGGCCCGGUUCAGCCCUUUCCCGAAUGGUCCUCUGCUCUUCCAUUCCUGUGGAACCGUAGCUGAUCAGAGUCUCUUUUGAGGCUGUGGUGAUGACAAUCCGGGGGAUGGCAAAUUUCUUCUCUUCUGAAUUUACAUCAGGUUUCUCUAGAGGGAAGGAAACAUCCGGGUAUUUCAUAAGUCUGUGGAAAAACUCUUCUGUAAAACAGACAAUGUCUGUGUUAGGGCCAGAGCAAAGGAAUUAGGUUCGUGGCUCAGGAAAAGAAAUGGGUGAGGUUGAAAGCAGUCAAAACCGUGAGUGAACAUUCCAAAGCUUACACCAACCGGCAAUGCAGCCACGCAGUGGUGACCCUAGAGGCCUCCUUCCAGGAGGGGAACGGACAGACACCCGCACCAUCCCCGUGGAAAGCCUGAGCUGCCGGGCAGCCAGGGUGACAGACGCAGGAGCGAGACCUGGGAAAGGCAGGGUCUGCCCCAGAGGUGAAGGUUCAGACACACAGUGUGCAAAGGAUUCUCUGCACAGAGCUUUGUCAGGCAGGGCACUCUAGAAACGGACGCCACAGCGUUUUCUCAAACUUGUCAGGAUUACCAGGAACACACGGGACGUGUGAAACGUUACAAAGUACAAAAGCAGAAGCCCCUUCACUGCCUCCACCGCCUCACUUCCCGGCCUGCUCCCUCCGUUCAGGCCUGUGUGUCCCCGUGUGCACACACGUGUACUGCACAGAAUUAGAACACUGAACACCCCAGGAACUCAGCUAUACGGGGGAUGAACAGGUGCCCGUCCCGUGCUAGGCGUUGCUCUGAGCCCUAGAAUAACCACCGCACGUUUCUGAGGUUACACUGACAGCGGAAGUGCUGACUCCGCCCCCGCUGGUCACCGGUCACCGCCAGCUUCCCUGAGCUUUGAGCACCCUCGCCAUGGGGAGGCUGCGCAUCUCAUCUCGUUGUCACUCGUUCAUGGGCCCGUGGCACGUAUCCUCCUGUGAAUGCAUGUCAUUCUGCAUUUUCUACAUUGACUGUUUUUUUUUUUCUUUGGUGAGCUUUUUUAUAUUUGGGAAGUUCACCCUUAGUGACUUAUACUGCAAGUAGCCCCUGGCUUUUAGCUUCCUUUGUCGCUUUCUGCAACAGAUUCAUCCAUCUGUUCCUUAAUGGCUUUUAGAGUUUGUCAGACUGGAAAAGGCAUCCCCUGUUCCAAACUUAUAAAAACAUUUACUCAUUUCCA
Molecule: long non-coding RNA, 2989 nt
Organism: Lagenorhynchus albirostris (white-beaked dolphin)
Lineage: Eukaryota; Metazoa; Chordata; Mammalia; Artiodactyla; Delphinidae
Exons: 2
Source: RefSeq, a predicted model, not a curated record